UUUUUCUUUCACCGGAGCUUGCUCCACCGAAAGAAAAAGAGUGGCUGAACGGGUGAGUAACACGUGGGUAACCUGCCCAUCAGAAGGGGAUAACACUUGGAAACAGGUGCUAAUACCGUAUAACACUAUUUUCCGCAUGGAAGAAAGUUGAAAGGCGCUUUUGCGUCACUGAUGGAUGGACCCGCGGUGCAUUAGCUAGUUGGUGAGGUAACGGCUCACCAAGGCAACGAUGCAUAGCCGACCUGAGAGGGUGAUCGGCCACACUGGGACUGAGACACGGCCCAGACUCCUACGGGAGGCAGCAGUAGGGAAUCUUCGGCAAUGGACGAAAGUCUGACCGAGCAACGCCGCGUGAGUGAAGAAGGUUUUCGGAUCGUAAAACUCUGUUGUUAGAGAAGAACAAGGAUGAGAGUAAAACGUUCAUCCCUUGACGGUAUCUAACCAGAAAGCCACGGCUAACUACGUGCCAGCAGCCGCGGUAAUACGUAGGUGGCAAGCGUUGUCCGGAUUUAUUGGGCGUAAAGCGAGCGCAGGCGGUUUCUUAAGUCUGAUGUGAAAGCCCCCGGCUCAACCGGGGAGGGUCAUUGGAAACUGGGAGACUUGAGUGCAGAAGAGGAGAGUGGAAUUCCAUGUGUAGCGGUGAAAUGCGUAGAUAUAUGGAGGAACACCAGUGGCGAAGGCGGCUCUCUGGUCUGUAACUGACGCUGAG
This 709-nucleotide ribosomal RNA is filed under the name Enterococcus gallinarum. RNAcentral describes it as "bacterial SSU rRNA". It matches the Rfam family "Bacterial small subunit ribosomal RNA", at positions 69 to 750 of the family's 1533-position model. Lineage: Bacteria; Bacillati; Bacillota; Bacilli; Lactobacillales; Enterococcaceae. The record is from RNAcentral.